CUACAGCUUCAGAAAAAGUGAUUUUUAGUGUAAACGUAGCUGUUCUAUUAAACUUUACUUCGACGAAAAAUUUGACCGAUAAAAACGAAACAUGAACCUUUAAGUGAAAAAGUGAUGGUAUCUGUAAAGGUGAUGGAAUGGUAUAAACGAUUUCCUUAUUUUUUCCUGUAAUCGUAAAAAUUAUCUCGAACCGUUAACCUUACCGUUCAAACUUAAACUUAAAAAAUGAGCGAAACGCCGGUCAGAGAUGCCAGGGAGUUUUACAAAACAUCAGUGAGUAAUUAUGAGAAUAUCUCUUAUAUUUUUUUUAUUCUGAUACGACUCUAUAGAGUUUCGAAGAAAAUAUAAUUUAUCUUGGAGGUAUGCCCAUACAUCGUACUAAACGAGGUUUAGUUCACGCUUUCCGCGAUGCGUUUAAAAUAGCUUUUAGUGAAAUUAAGCGAGUUAUUACGAGUGAUUCUUUGCAAAUCCAUUGUGCAGAUAAUUACAAUUUUAUUCAAUUGUUGAUCCCUAAAACAUUCUUAAAUUACUACCCAUAAUCAUCCUGAUCAGAUUAAAUAUUUACCUUUAAAUUUUGCAUCUCAAUAUCUAAACAAAUAUUGAUAAAACAUUGAACCUGGCACCACUGAUGUAGACUUUGUUUUGGUUGUCAAACGUGAAGAACGAAAAAAAUUGCGGUCCAGCAAAUUUGUGCGCUAUUUCGCCGGAUUCGCGCGGAUCGUAAUUUUCAACACAGUCCGGGAGACGGAACGAAGUUUAUUCAGCAAUCGCAAUGUUCUGUGAGCGGUUAUGCUACAUCUGCCGCUAGUUCCAGUCAGGGACUAGACCGAUCUUUGAAGCGGCUGAAAGAAGAUGUAAAACGCUCUGGAAGAACUUUACGCCGAGAUCUGAAAGAUGUUCCGGAGGAAAUCCGUAUUAACCGUUCCGCUUCCAGCGCUCAAUCUUGACUGGUUAUUCCUUGUUGCGGUCACCUAGUUCCAGAAGACCUUCCCGAGGUGCUCUGGUUCAGGAGUAAUGGGAAACAUUGAACAGCAUGAACGCAGCAAUGGACAUUUCCCACUACAACGCCCUUCUUCGGGUGUAUAUGGAUAAUGAGCAACGGAAUUUCUGGCGGAUUUGCAGGCCAAGGGCGUUGAACCGAAUCGCGUCACCUUUCAGCGAUUAAUUUCGCGCUACUGCCAAGAGGGAGCAAACAAGACUCUGGAAUUCCUGCGAGAGCUGCUUCCAGUAAUUGAAUGCGUUUUCAACGCUGAGCCAGGAUAAUUUGUUUUACGCUACGUAUCGAUAUAGAGCGGCGCGGAAAAACGACAUUCAAUAAAAUGUUGCAAUUAGAAAACAUUUUCCAUUUUUAUCCGAAAAUCUCCCAUAUAAAUUAAAAAUAUUGCGUUUGUAUGCGUGCUCUUUUUACGAACGAUUCCUAAAACGGUUUGAAUAAUGUUGGAAUAAAGUAAAGUCAAAUCGUUACACAACCAUUGACGUAAGCGUUUAGGAAUGAGAGCUCCUCGAAAAAAACUAUAACGAUUACAAUCCGAUGAUCUAAAUACAUUUUCAGCAAUCGGUUUUUAAACCUAACAUGGACUGCAUGUAGAACAGUUCGUCCAUACAAGUGUUUUAACGGUUUUUAACAAUUACAUAACCUAACGACAUAUUAAAAAUACUGUGAAUUUGGAAUUCACGAUUUAACUAAUGUAUUUCACGGUUUGAAUAAUCGUUUGCUAAACGUUUUU
Uranotaenia lowii is the source of this 1727-nucleotide long non-coding RNA. RefSeq lists it as uncharacterized. The transcript is spliced from 3 exons. The record is from RefSeq and is a predicted model, not a curated record. Lineage: Eukaryota; Metazoa; Arthropoda; Insecta; Diptera; Culicidae.